Molecule: ribosomal RNA, 485 nt
Filed under: Enterobacter asburiae
Lineage: Bacteria; Pseudomonadati; Pseudomonadota; Gammaproteobacteria; Enterobacterales; Enterobacteriaceae
Description: bacterial LSU rRNA
Rfam family: Bacterial large subunit ribosomal RNA
Source: RNAcentral
GGUUAAGCGACUAAGCGUACACGGUGGACGCCCUGGCAGUCAGAGGCGAUGAAGGACGUGCUAAUCUGCGAUAAGCGUCGGUAAGGUGAUAUGAACCGUUAUAACCGGCGAUUUCCGAAUGGGGAGACCCAGUGUGUUUCGACACACUAUCAUUAACUGAAUCCAUAGGUUAAUGAGGCGAACCGGGGGAACUGAAACAUCUAAGUACCCCGAGGAAAAGAAAUCAACCGAGAUUCCCCCAGUAGCGGCGAGCGAACGGGGAGCAGCCCAGAGCCUGAAUCAGUGUGUGUGUUAGUGGAAGCGUCUGGAAAGGCGCGCGAUACAGGGUGACAGCCCCGUACACAAAAAUGCACAUGCUGUGAGCUCGAUGAGUAGGGCGGGACACGUGGUAUCCUGUCUGAAUAUGGGGGGACCAUCCUCCAAGGCUAAAUACUCCUGACUGACCGAUAGUGAACCAGUACCGUGAGGGUAAGGUGAAAAGAACC